AUUGAGAGUGGUGAGGCUUCAAUUGCGAAUGCGUCAUCAGUUGAUAUGCAGCAGGUAACAGUCAUGAGAUUGAUGACACAAUGCAAUGAAAAGUCUUUUGAGCUGGAGGUGAGUACUUCACAGCACGAUAAUAAGUUGUGUGAUGCACAUUGAAUUAAUAGUUAUACUUAAGUUGGUCCUUUCUGACUUGUUUCUCACAAAAAUUAUUGUACUAUCAUGCUUAUUUAGAAUGGAUGCUGGCAUUUAUGAAUUUACUGGGAAAAGAGUAAUAUGGUUUCUUUUACAAACAUGUUUUUUCGGGUACUAAUGCUUUAAGUUCUUGGGAGGUAAUUCCAGCUGCUUAAGUCUCUUUCCUUAAAUAUUUCAACUUUAGAAUGUCCUUUGCCUGUUUUAGAGGAAGAAAGAUAAGUAACUCCUUCCACGGUUUUGUUUUGCAUGGUUUUAAACCAAACUCUUGGCCCAUGUAACCAUUUCCUUAAAUCUAUGCCCAAACCUUAUCAUGGAUGCUUUGUUCUAUGGCAAUCUGUUCACUGAAUUCGUGCUUUUUGAGUGGUUGGAAACACUGAUUUAAGUUUGUUCAUCAUCUAAAUUGAACUGUUUUGCCAAUUGAUGCAGAUAAAGUCAGCAGAUAACCGUGUCCUUCAGGAACAACUG
RNAcentral lists this unclassified non-coding RNA (654 nucleotides) under Hevea brasiliensis (rubber tree). Lineage: Eukaryota; Viridiplantae; Streptophyta; Magnoliopsida; Malpighiales; Euphorbiaceae. The record is from RNAcentral.